This 87-nucleotide transfer RNA is filed under the name Patescibacteria group bacterium. Its description in RNAcentral is "tRNA-Ser". It matches the Rfam family "tRNA". Rfam says of the family: Transfer RNA (tRNA) molecules are approximately 80 nucleotides in length. Their secondary structure includes four short double-helical elements and three loops (D, anti-codon, and T loops). The record is from RNAcentral.
GGAAGAGUGGCUGAGUGGUUGAAGGCGCCGCUCUCGAAAAGCGGUAGGGGUGCAAGCCCCUCGUGAGUUCAAAUCUCACCUCUUCCG